Molecule: ribosomal RNA, 397 nt
Filed under: uncultured bacterium
Lineage: Bacteria
Description: partial 16S ribosomal RNA
Rfam family: Bacterial small subunit ribosomal RNA
Source: RNAcentral
AUACGUAGGGGGCGAGCGUUGUCCGGAAUGAUUGGGCGUAAAGGGCGCGUAGGCGGCGCGGUAAGUCUGGAGUGAAAGUCCUGCUUUCAAGGUGGGAAUUGCUUUGGAUACUGAUGGGCUUGAGUGCAGGAGAGGUUAUCGGAAUUCCCGGUGUAGCGGUGAAAUGCGUAGAGAUCGGGAGGAACACCAGUGGCGAAGGCGGGUAACUGGACUGCAACUGGCGCUGAGGCGCGAAAGUGUGAGGAGUAAACAGGAUUAGAUAAACUGGAAGUCCGCACUGAUAACGAUGAAUGCUAUGUAUAAGAAGUAUCGACCCCUUUUGUGCCGAAGUUAACACAAUAAGCAAUCCGCCUGGGGAGUACGGCCGCAAGGUUGAAGCUCAAAUGAAUUGACGGGG